GAACACAACAGUCGAAGAGCAAAAGUCAGAUUUUGACAAACUCAAGGCGUUGCUAACGAGCAUGUGCUUCACAUUGUACAAUCAAAAGGAUGACAUUGCUGUUUUUCAAAAGUCUUCAGAUAAUAGCUGCUAUGAUCAGCUUACCCCAUCUUCCUACCCACCCAAGUGCGAUGACAGCACUGAUUUGGAUACAGCAUGGUAUGUUCCUCUCCGUCCUUGCCUUACCGUUCCAGACCAAGGCCUUAAGAAGUUGGCGCUGAGAUCCACUCCAAAAUGGCCAAGUCGAUUGCUUGUAGCUCCUGAGCGCAUCUCUAAGGUACCUGGUGGGAAUGCUGGUGGGUUCAAGCACGACAACAGUAAAUGGAAGGUUAGGGUGAAGCACUACAAGACCGUGCUUCCUGCUCUUGGAAGUGAUAAGAUUAGAAAUGUUAUGGACAUGAAUACACUGUACGGAGGGUUUGCAGCAGCACUUGGUAACUCUUCAUUGUGGGUGAUGAAUGUUGUAUCUUCU
RNAcentral lists this unclassified non-coding RNA (511 nucleotides) under Hevea brasiliensis (rubber tree). The record is from RNAcentral. Lineage: Eukaryota; Viridiplantae; Streptophyta; Magnoliopsida; Malpighiales; Euphorbiaceae.